GGCGCGGCCCCUGCCUCUGCCGCGCUGGGUGCCCGUCCCGUCCCCUCCCGUGCGUUCCCACCGCCUCCCUGCCGUACAGCUGGAAAUAAACAAAACCAACGUAGAAAUAUAUAUAGCUGUCUCGGCUGUCACACCUGUCCUGAGGAAAGCCCUGUGGAAGGAGCUCGGUGCCGGGAUUCAGGACCCUGAGGCCACUGUGAAACUGCAAAUUCUUUCCAAGCUGUUGCCACCUCCGGGAAGCAAAGGGCUGCACAACCUGAUGGACUGCCUUCCUGCUGCUCCGGAGAGAGCAGGCAAUGAAGAGAGCUGGGCCGUGGCAGAUGCCAUAUCCACGGUGCUUAAAAACUCAGAGGAGCUGCAUUCCUGGAGGAGACAUCUCUUCUCAGCCUGCAUAAAGGGGUUAGUUGCCAUGUACAGCAGCAGUAAAGAUGAAGGCAAGCAAGAAGUGGAGAGGUCCAUGCUGCUGAGGCUAGAGGAAUUAUUGUGUGUGGUUGAAGAAGUGGACCCAGAUGACUGGUGUGACCUUGUGAAGACAGGGCUCAAGUACCGUUACAGAGAUGAAACAUUUCUGAAGGUCCUGAACGUUGCCAUCCAGUUACUAUACAUGAAAGAAUCCUCACUUAGAGCGUAGUCAAGCUCUCCAAACUACACAUGGGGGUCACACAGCACUCUCUAUUUUUGGCAGCCAUCCUGAGGUCAAGAGAAGAAGAUGGCAUGAGCGUCCAGACAAGAGGAUGGCUCUCUGUGGUCUCAGACAGUGUUCCAUGGGAGGAAGGGCAGCCUUUGCCUCACCUGCACAGCUCAGAUGGAUGUGACAGAACUGGUGUGGCCUGACAAGGCAUGAGCAGCUGUCUGUACACUGGAGUGCCUUGAAACCUUUCUCUGUGAGGUUUUGGACACAUUUCUCUUUGGGAUUUCUUGUGACACAGCACCAGGACAGGAGAAAUCAUUGAGCUCCUCCCAUCUUUGCCAGAAGCUUCGGUGUUUAAGCAGCCAGAGCCAAGAGGCUUCAGCACCAGGGGUGUGCGCUGGAGGGCUCCUGGUCCUGCCCACGCUGUGGGGGAGCCAGGGCUGGCACAAGGACUCAUGAAGGUGCUGCUCUGGCACUGGAGCUGUUGCCCUGUGGAGCCAUUUUAAAGGUCUGAUAAUGGAACAUUUUGGAGGCCGUUUCUGGAAUUCCAUUUGUAGCUGGAUCUCGCUCCAAGUGCAGCAGUCCAGGUGAGGGUUCUGACCUCUCCAGACUUGUGUUCACCUUGGUACAGCCUGGGGCUGGAGCAGGUUUUCCAGGGAAGUGGAGAUGGCUGAGGAUGGGUGCUCUGGAAAGCAGGGACCUGCUGGGAUUUGCAUUUGCAAAGCUGCCGUGAAGUUUGUAAAACCAGCAGGAAAUUCUAAUUCCUGUGGUUUUUGGGGAGGAGGUGCAGGUCACCCUGAGAGCUAGAUCAGAACUGGUUUGUGGUAAGGAGUCUGAGGUGUGUAAGUGCCACAGCUGGUAUGAGCUGUGUGCUAAAUGCAGUCCCAGCCCCAGAGGGAGGCUGAUGGGCUCUGCUCAUUGCUGUCCCCAGCUGUCCCCAGCCCGCUGCUCCCCCGUGGAUCUGCUCUGGAUUCGGGCUGUCGGUGCUGGAGCGCCCUGCUCCCUGCAGGGCCCUGCCCCUAACCCACGCAGAGAGAGCCCUGCUGGCCAGAGUGAUCUUUUUUAUUCCUUUAUCCCUGUGCUGUUAGCAAGGAAGGGAUGGGACUGCUCUUGGCCGGGAGCACUCAGUGCUCAGGUAAACACCCGCCUCGGAGCGUGAGGGUUUGCAGAGCGAGCAGCUGCUGCGGCUCAGGAGCAGCCACAAGUUCUUUGUUCCAAGGCAGGCCAGAACUUUCUAACCCCGGGGUUUAUUUGGCUUUUCGAACCCAGCACCUCUGCUCAGUUCUGCCGCACUGAGGGUACUUUUGUUCAAUGCCUUCUGUUGGAACUUGUCAGCUCUCAGUGUAGCGCACACAGCCCCAGCCCUGCCCUGCAAACCCUUCCCCAUCGUGCCCACACAGUUUCUCUCUCACUCACUCGGGGCAGGCUCUUACUGACAGCCACAGAAACAGAAGUUAUUUUAUUUUAUUUUAUUCUUUUCCUGCGUAAUGCCCGUGUCUUGUAUUGGUACAUCAAUCCCAGCUUCUCCCGAGGCUGCAGAUCAAAUCUUUCAGUGUCUGUGGGAGUUUCUGGUUUUCCCAUUCCCAUGUCUUCCCCCUCUCUCUGUAUGAAAAAAAUUUAUUAGUGGAUUUGUUAAGCAUUUGUUGCAUGUAUUAACAUAAAGAAGGUGUUAUCAUUAGUAUUAUUAUUAUUAUUGUAAUAAUAUAAUUAAAAUGUAUACUUUUGUUAUAAGAUUUUUUAAUUAUGGUGUUAAAUUUUAUUUAUUGUUAUGUUUUAUUAGUUAUUCUUAUUUUUGAUAUUUCUUAAAGUUGUACACUUUAAUAAGUAGAUUUGGUGUUUUAGAUAAAUGUAUACAUUUUAUUAAAUUUUUAUAUUUAUAUUUGUAUGUUAAUAAAAUAAAUUUUUUUGUUGGUUUUUUGUAAAACUGCGUAUUUAAUAGUUUUAUAUUUGUUAAAAAGUUAUUUAGGGUAAGGGAUGUCGAAUUAGAUUGUUUAUUUAGAAAAUAUUUUAAUUGAUUUAAUUGUUUUAGUGUUGUUGAAGUAAUAGGUGGUAUAAAAACUGAUGCUACCAUUUUGAUUUUAAGUUUCAAGGCUUAAAAUUACUUUUAUAUUUUGAUUACUAUUGAUGGAUAAAUGACUUUUUUGUUUUAAAUUGGUAGCUAUUUUAAUAUUAAGAGUUAAUAAUGUAAGGGCUUUUUAAUUAUAUGGACUAUUUGUAAUGGUUUUUAUUGGUAUCUUAAGUAAGUAAGUAAAGAAUGGAUUUUUUUGAGUAGUGCUAGAUAAAUACAAAGUAUUUAAACUUGAAACUUUAGUUAAAGUUACUUAAAUGUUUGUUUUAGGUUGGUUAAUUGGUAAAGUGACAUAAUUAAAAGUAAAUAAAGUAAAUAGAGUAGAAGUAAAAUAUUUGAUAGAAUUUCAUAAUUUGUAAGUUACUAAAUAAGAUUUUUAUAACAUUGAUUUUUAUAUUUAUAAAGAAACUUCAAGUUUCUAUAUUUUCGUGGGUGUAGUACAAGAUGUUAGGUGUAAGUUGCAAUUCUUGUGUAAUCUGCGUUUGUAUUUCCAUAGUGUAAUUUGUCUUUGUAUUUACAUUGGUGUUUUAUUUGUGGAGUGGUGAGUGUGUUUUUUGUGUGAUCUGAUUUUAUGUUUCUCAUUGAAAUUUACUUGGGGUUUUGUACUUGUUGAGAUAUAAGUAAACUUUAUGUUUUGAUAUGAGAAAUAAUAAGUUGUUAUAAUUUUUCAGUUAUAAGUAUGAAGAAAUGCAAGAGUAAAAUAAUGUAUGUAGUAAAGAAGAAAUUGAUAAUAAUUAGGAAUUACUUAGAUAAUAUCUAUAAUUAGUAACAUAGGUGAAAUUAUAUAAUUAGUAAGUAUUAAAAGAUUGUACAUACUUUUAGCAUUUAUAACAGUUGAUAAAUGUUAAAUUAGUGGUAAGUUAAAUCAUUAGGUGUGGAUAAUGAUUUUUUAAGUUUAUUUUAAAAAUAAGUUUAUUUGUUAUAUUGUUAAAUUGUUAAGUUAAAAUUAUUUGAAUUUAUUUUUGAUGUAGAAAAUAUUUGGGUUUGUUGUUAAUUAUUUUAUUUAGGUAGAGUUAGGGUUAGGUUAUAGUUUAAAUUUUAAUUGGUGAAUGUUAUUUAAUAUAUUUUUAUAUAAUGUUUUUAAAAAUAGUAGUUAAGAGUAAAAAUGUUAGGAUUAAAGAUUAAUUACAUUAUUUAAUAAUUGGAUUUUUUUAGAAGUUUUUUAGAAUAGAGAUGCUUUGAAUAUAGUAAACUUCUUUUUAAAGAUUUGAAAGUGGUUAUGGACAGGAUUGUGAGUUUGGAUUUGGAUAUUGAGAGUGUGAAGGUGGAGGAAAUGUAUGAGAGAGUGAUUACUUAGUGUGAAAC
Non-coding RNA from Taeniopygia guttata (zebra finch), 4004 nucleotides. Lineage: Eukaryota; Metazoa; Chordata; Aves; Passeriformes; Estrildidae. The record is from RefSeq and is a predicted model, not a curated record.